Molecule: ribosomal RNA, 123 nt
Filed under: Nannospalax galili (Upper Galilee mountains blind mole rat)
Lineage: Eukaryota; Metazoa; Chordata; Mammalia; Rodentia; Spalacidae
Source: RNAcentral
GUCUAUCACCAUACCACCCUGAACACGUCUGAUCUUGUCUGAUCUCAGAAACUAAGCAGGGAUGGAUCUGGUUAAUACUUGGAUGGGAGAAAGCAUAGAGAGGUGCAGCCAGGGUGAUGUGCC